GAGAAAGAGAAGAGAGUAUGUAAAAGAUCAGGAUGGAGAGGAUUUCUAACAGUACUUAAGUCGCGCAACUCUUCGUUGCGAUCCACCGAAGACGUCAAUGUUGCAAUUUUUAACAUAGGAAAUUCAGCUGAAAGAGAUAAAACAAUAUCUAUGUUUAUGGCUCAUAACGUUCAUGUGGCGAAAUAAGAAAAAAAAAAGGCAAAGGUUCUUAUUGUUAAUGAAAUGUUUGUUAAGAAUAAGUGUCAGCGAACGCUAUUCGUUUUCAUCAAUAUGCGAUAGAUCUAUUGGGAAUCUUCAGUUCUGACGCAAUCAGCCGAAGCGGAUAAACCAGUCAAUUCUGCAAAAAUUGACGAGAUAAGAAGAUACCAAACAACAGGAAAAAGACAAACUAAUCUGGUAUUAUCCACCGAUAUACAGAAAUGACGUACUUGAGAAGCAAAAAACGAAAGUUUCAAUAUAUAAAUACCGCCGAAGAAAUAAAAAAAAAGCUGUAAAUAAAAUAAGGAAAAAGAAAACAAAAUAAAUUUGAAAUUAAUUGAUGUUUGAAUAACAAUUGAACAAAUUUAAUUAAUAAUAAUAAAAUUACUUGAAAUUAUAACAAAUAUUCAUAAUAUUAGCAAAAUUAAUUUCUCUUGUUAAAUAACUUUUUGCAAUAAAGAAAAAAUACUUCAC
Molecule: RNA transcript, 672 nt
Organism: Cataglyphis hispanica
Lineage: Eukaryota; Metazoa; Arthropoda; Insecta; Hymenoptera; Formicidae
Exons: 2
Source: RefSeq, a predicted model, not a curated record